Molecule: ribosomal RNA, 501 nt
Filed under: uncultured bacterium
Lineage: Bacteria
Description: partial 16S ribosomal RNA
Rfam family: Bacterial small subunit ribosomal RNA
Source: RNAcentral
AUUGAACGCUGGCGGCAGGCUUAACGCAUGCAAGUCGAGCGGGGGAAGGUAGCUUGCUACCGGACCUAGCGGCGGACGGGUGAGUAAUGCUUAGGAAUCUGCCUACUAGUGGGGGACAACAUCUCGAAAGGGAUGCUAAUACCGCAUACGUCCUACGGGAGAAAGCAGGGGAUCUUCGGACCUUGCGCUAAUAGAUGAGCCUAAGUCGGAUUAGCUAGUUGGUGGGGUAAAGGCCUACCAAGGCGACGAUCUGUAGCGGGUCCGAGAGGAUGAUCCGCCACACUGGGACUGAGACACGGCCCAGACUCCUACGGGAGGCAGCAGUGGGGAAUAUUGGACAAUGGGGGGAACCCUGAUCCAGCCAUGCCGCGUGUGUGAAGAAGGCCUUAUGGUUGUAAAGCACUUUAAGCGAGGAGGAGGCUACUUUAGUUAAUACCUAGAGAUAGUGGACGUUACUCGCAGAAUAAGCACCGGCUAACUCUGUGCCAGCAGCCGCCGCAG